This 779-nucleotide ribosomal RNA is filed under the name uncultured Peptostreptococcus sp. RNAcentral's name for it is "bacterial SSU rRNA". It matches the Rfam family "Bacterial small subunit ribosomal RNA", at positions 14 to 796 of the family's 1533-position model. Lineage: Bacteria; Bacillati; Bacillota; Clostridia; Peptostreptococcales; Peptostreptococcaceae. The record is from RNAcentral.
UGAUCCUGGCUCAGGAUUAACGCUGGCGGCGUGCAUAACACAUGCAAGUCGAACGAUGAAACUUAAAUGAUUUCUUCGGAAUGAACUUAAGUGGAUUAGUGGCGGACGGGUGAGUAACGCGUGAGUAACCUGCCUUACACAAGGGGAUAGCCGUUGGAAACGACGAAUAAUACCCUAUGAAACUAUCACUUCGCAUGAAGCGAUAGUCAAAGUGUUAGCGGUGUAAGAUGGACUUGCGUCUGAUUAGCUAGUUGGUGAGAAAAAAGCCCACCAAGGCAACGAUCAGUAGCCGGCUUGAGAGAGUGUACGGCCACAUUGGGACUGAGACACGGCCCAGACUCCUACGGGAGGCAGCAGUGGGGAAUUUUGCACAAUGGGGGAAACCCUGAUGCAGCGACGCCGCGUGAUUUAGAAGGCCUUCGGGUUGUAAAAAUCUUUUGUAUAGGAAGAAAAUGACAGUACUAUACGAAUAAGGUCCGGCUAAUUACGUGCCAGCAGCCGCGGUAAUACGUAAGGACCGAGCGUUGUCCGGAAUCAUUGGGCGUAAAGGGUACGUAGGCGGGUCAUUAAGUUAGAAGUCAAAGGCUAUAGCUCAACUAUAGUAAGCUUCUAAAACUGGAGACCUUGAGUAAUGGAAGGGAAAGUGGAAUUCCUAGUGUAGCGGUGGAAUGCGCAGAUAUUAGGAGGAGUACCGGUGGCGAAGGCGACUUUCUGGCCAUUAACUGACGCUGAGGUACGAAAGCGUGGGUAGCAAACAGGAUUAGAUACCCUGGUAGUCC